CCUACGGGAUGCAGCAGUGAGGAAUAUUGGUCAAUGGGCGCGAGCCUGAACCAGCCAAGUAGCGUGAAGGAUGCCUGCCCUACGGGUUGUAAACUUCUUUUAUACAGGAAUCAAGUGAGGCACGUGUGCCUUUUUGUAUGUACUUUAUGACUCAGGAUCGGGUAACUCCGUGCCAGCAGCCGCGGUAAUACGGAGGACACGGGCGUUGUCCGGAUUUCUUGGGUUUAAAGGGAGCGUAGAUGGGUUGUUAAGUCAGUUGGGAAAGUUUGCGGCUCAACCGUAAAAUUGCAAUUGAUACUGGCAGUCUUGAGUACAGUUGAGGUAGGCGGAAUUCGUGGUGUAGCGGUGAAAUGCUUAGAUAUCACGAAGAACACCGAUUGCGAAGGCAGCUUACUAAACUGCCACUGACAUUGAGGCUCGAAAGUGUGGGUAUCAAACAGGAUUAGAUACCCUUGUAGUC
RNAcentral lists this ribosomal RNA (460 nucleotides) under uncultured bacterium. Its description in RNAcentral is "partial 16S ribosomal RNA". It matches the Rfam family "Bacterial small subunit ribosomal RNA", at positions 338 to 795 of the family's 1533-position model. The record is from RNAcentral.